Long non-coding RNA from Triticum dicoccoides, 3525 nucleotides. RefSeq lists it as uncharacterized. Lineage: Eukaryota; Viridiplantae; Streptophyta; Magnoliopsida; Poales; Poaceae. The transcript has 9 exons. The record is from RefSeq and is a predicted model, not a curated record.
CUCCCACUCGGUCCAUCUUGGAAAAAACGCUUAGAAAAAACUCUACGAAAAUAAACCAGCAGUUUGGUCGCACGUACGAGCGAUUCGUCCUGACCUAUAAUCAUGGUGAAGGAACGACGACCCCUCGAUCUAUUCGCGACGCGAACCCCGCCGCCUGGCAGAUCCCAGGCGCUAGCCGCGGAUCCCUUUGCCGGCUCCGAGGGGUCCUAAAGGAGGCGCCGCCCGCCGAGGUCCUAAAGGAGGCGCCGCCGCCAUCGUUGUGAACCUCCGGGUCGCCAUCGGGACACCUCUGCUGAGGUACGCCUUCGCCUUCGCACGCUGCCGACCUCCCAGAGGAAACGCCGCCAUCAUCGACCCCCAAGAGGAGACGCCGCCACGACCUGCGCUAAACCCUAGGCAUCAACCACCGUGCUCCCGUCGUCUGGUUCCUCCUGCGUUCGCCACCAUGCGGUCGCCUUCCUCCCUUAGGUUCUUGUACGGAACAUACCACCAGACCCCGAUGAAUCAGUUAGCAAGCUUGUGGAACAUUUCUUCCUUGUCAAUCAUCCUGAUCAUUAUCUGAAACAUUAGGUAAUCACUAAAUUUUGGAACAUCUCCCAUUUGAAGAAUCAUCUGCAAAUUCAAAUGUAAGGAAGUGUGCAGUGCAAGCAAUUAUCAGGUGUUGGCUGCCCAGGAAGAAGGAAAGGUCAGUCCAGGCAUGACAUUUAACUCUAAUAAUGGAGGUACAUAGUGCCUACUGCUCCCUUGUCCCUUGCUACCGGCUGGGGAUGCUCGGCUCGCCAGCGAUGGGGAUGCUCGGCGGGCAGUCCCUGCUCUCAUUUUCCUCCAGCCUCUGGUAACCCUCCUCCUCACCUGCCUCGUCGAAGCGGGAUUCACAGGGAGCAUCAGGUACAUCUAAUGUGGGGAUGAACCAUCAGCUAAAGGGAGUGAUAGGAAAAUAUUUUGUUGAGUGCAAUGGGAAGGCGAAAAACGACACGCCUUGGCGAAGCAACUCUGAGAUUCGGUAAGGCUAAUCAAUUCUGCAAUCAAAUCCAAGAGCAGGGGCAGAGAAAAACGUUAAAAAUACUUUUUAGCUAUUGAUUGAAGUGACUGGUAAUUAGUAGCAGGAGCAACAGUUGUAGUAAGAACCUACCUAGGCAUAUUUUCUCUCUUUCCUAUCACAUGGCACAUUGAAUAACUUUAUAGUACAAAUACAUUCACAUAUGUUAUUUUAAAUUAUCAUGUCAUGGAGGUUCUCAUUAUUUCGAAUCUUUGGUUGGAACCUUCAUUUUGUGUUAUUAAAUGCACAUGGUAUUCAGUUAUCUCCAUUAUGGUGAGAAGAUUUUGAUCUUGAUAUAUCAGAUUUAAGCCUCCUACACCAUAGGAGGUCCUCCUUUUGGUGAUAUUCACUCAUAUGUCAUUUUAAAUUAUCAUGUCAUGGAGGUGCUGGGUAUUUCGAAUCUUUGGUUGGAACCUUCAUUUUGCGUUAAAUUCACAUGGUAUUCAGUUAUCUCCAUUAUUGCCAGUAGCAACGCACAAGCACUUUCUAUUAAAUGCACAUGCUAUUUUCUUUUGUAUCAUGUCAUUUUGUGGUCAUUAACAAUCAGGUGGAUGAAACUGAUCUUGUUUUAUGCAUCAUUGAUUUUCCUCAACUGAAUGAGUAGAAACAUUAGUAUGUAAUGUAGUAGCCCCUCUAUUCCAUUGUUAUAAAUAUUAUAGUUUUUCAAUCUGCUGACCAGAUCGUAACAGCUGUUUAAAAGGAAGUGAUCACAUCACUAUUUAGAUUUUACUUUUUUUGCAUGCUUAAACAUAAGAUUAGUUUGUCCCCUUUCUUUUUACCCUUCAUGCUAACAUAAUAAAUACAUAUUUGAACUGAAUUGGUUGUAUUACAUAUGCCACGAAGGACGUCGCCGCUUGAAGCUCGAUUUCCAUCAAGCCCUCUUUUAAUUCACUUGCAUUGUUUCAGCUUUGCGUUGUACUUCUUUGACGAAUUACCUCAUCUAAUUGGCUUUAAUUUGGAGCGUCAGUCUUACUAAUUAUCAUUGCCUUAACUUUCCAUAUGAACCUCUUACAGGAAACAAGGACUCCUAGUUGUCUGUAGUACUGCCCAUGAGACUCAACCUUGUUUUACCUUAAUUGUCAUGGUGUGCCUUUUUUUAGAAUAGCUCACGAUUUUGUUAGUGGUAAUAAAAUGCAUCUUUAGGCACAACUAUAGCGCACAUGUGAUGAUGUACAGAUGAAAGAAAGAUCCUAGAAGCUGAGAAGAUGAGAGCUGGAGGAACAAGGAGAAGCUAAAAAGACAGAAGAAGUCAGAGCAUGUGGAGGUGUUGGGCAAGCAGAGUUCUAUCUGGGUAUUUAGGUAGCCGAGGAUAAAAGGGAAAAGGAAAAUGUUGACGAUAUAGUUACUCAAUGCUGAGAAUGUUGCCUGCAUACUUUGUUGCCUAUAUAUCAUUGGCUUUGUAUUGAUCCAGGCAAGAACAAAUCAGACGAAACAAGUUUGCUACGGGUGGGUGUGCAUCAAGCCGCUUCGUUGCCGGCGGCGAGUAAUCUCACACAUGUUUAUGGCGCAUAUGUACCAGAAAAUUCAAAUGGUUCUGAUCAUACGUGCAAGGGGAAUCAGGUAGGGCUUGAUGCACCUUUCAUACAAAAUGUUGAUGAGAAUUACCCAAGUAGUCCAGAUGCAUGUCAGGUUGUUCGCUUGGUCUGCGCCAACGAGCAUCUCCUACAAGUCAUCAUCUCUCUCUUUGUCGGCUCCAUGUUGUAGCCUGCUAGGAGUCCUACCUUGCCAUGGAGCAUGUCCUUUGUCAUGGGUCGUACUGAGGUGGGUAUACUGAAGCAGACCCCUUAUAAUUAUGAACGGUUUAUAAAGUUGAAGGAUGAAACUCGAAUGAACACAAUUCUGAGGUUUGUAAAGUGAAGCCAAAGACAAGUUCGAGGGGUAAUAUGGACUUCUCUCAAACUAUAUUAUCAGAGGACAAUGAGGGUCUUGAAGACAAUGAAAGCGAUGAGUUUCUGCUGGUUCUGUUUUGUUGUAGGCGAAGUUCUUAAUUAUAAUUAUCAAUGUGUUUGUUUUUCUUAAGGACGCAGUGACAUGCAAGGCAAGGGAAAUUGAAGCCAAAACAUGCAGGACGGCCAGGAGUGUGCCGUUUUUUCUAUGACAUGGGGUGGUUCUUCAAUCUUCACGGAAUCAAGCGGUAGCAUCAGAUGCUGACAUGCAUGGAAGGUAACUACUCCAUGAUUAUAACAGUAAACAUUGAUAAGAGUACAAGCAUUGGAGGAGUACUCACCACGUUCGAGGAAGUCGUCAUCAUGGUGGUGGUGGUCGAGGAAGUCGUAGGUGCUGGUGGCAUCAUCACGGAGCAGGCACUAUCUUCUCCUCGACUUAAAAUGUAGUACUCCAUGUACUCCCACUUGUUAACUUUCUGAAAUGUAGAUCCACUCCAAGAAUGUGCUCUGAAAUGGAAGUAACAUGGAGUAUACUCUAAAAAUCAGUAUGGUUUGAGCCCACUAGAUCAAUCAAAGUUCUCCAGCAUGAUGAAAAGAAUA